CCCAGACUCCUACGGGAGGCAGCAGUGAGGAAUAUUGGUCAGUGGGCGGAAGCCUGAACCAGCCAAGUCGCGUGAGGGAAUAAGGCCCUACGGGUCGUAAACCUCUUUUGCCGGGGAGCAAGGGCCGGGACGCGUCCCGGCCCGGAGAGUACCCGGAGAAAAAGCAUCGGCUAACUCCGUGCCAGCAGCCGCGGUAAUACGGAGGAUGCGAGCGUUAUCCGGAUUUAUUGGGUUUAAAGGGUGCGUAGGCGGGCUUUUAAGUCAGCGGUAAAAAUUCGGGGCUCAACCCCGUCCGGCCGUUGAAACUGGGGGCCUUGAGUGGGCGAGAAGAAGGCGGAAUGCGUGGUGUAGCGGUGAAAUGCAUAGACAUCACGCAGAACCCCGAUUGCGAAGGCAGCCUGCCGGCGCCCUACUGACGCUGAGGCACGAAAGUGCGGGGAUCGAACAGGAUUAGAUUCCAU
This 461-nucleotide ribosomal RNA is filed under the name uncultured bacterium. Its description in RNAcentral is "bacterial SSU rRNA". It matches the Rfam family "Bacterial small subunit ribosomal RNA", at positions 330 to 788 of the family's 1533-position model. The record is from RNAcentral.